RNAcentral lists this transfer RNA (105 nucleotides) under Truncatella angustata. It matches the Rfam family "tRNA". From Rfam's summary of the family: Transfer RNA (tRNA) molecules are approximately 80 nucleotides in length. The record is from Rfam by way of RNAcentral. Lineage: Eukaryota; Fungi; Ascomycota; Sordariomycetes; Amphisphaeriales; Sporocadaceae.
GGCACUUUGGCGGAGUGGUUAACGCGCUGCCCUGCUAUCUUCUCUGCGAUGAUAUCGGUUUAGGCAGUUCCUUCGGGAGCGUGUGUUCGAAUCACACAGGUGUCG